AAAACUUUCAGCGACGGAUGUCUUGGCUCCCACAACGAUGAAGAACGCAGCGAAAUGCGAUACGUCUUGCGACUUGCAGAAUCCAGUGAAUCAUCAAAACUUUGAA
This 106-nucleotide ribosomal RNA is filed under the name Pelagophycus porra. RNAcentral's name for it is "partial 5.8S ribosomal RNA". It matches the Rfam family "5.8S ribosomal RNA", at positions 1 to 104 of the family's 154-position model. Rfam says of the family: 5.8S ribosomal RNA (5.8S rRNA) is a component of the large subunit of the eukaryotic ribosome. Lineage: Eukaryota; Phaeophyceae; Laminariales; Laminariaceae. The record is from RNAcentral.